GAUGAACGCUGGCGGCGUGCUUAACACAUGCAAGUCGAACGAACCUUCGGGUUAGUGGCGGACGGGUGAGUAACGCGUGGGAAUCUGCCCUCAGGAGGGGGAUAACGGUUGGAAACGACCGCUAAUACCCCAUAUGCCGAGAGGUGAAAUGAAUUUCGCCUGAGGAUGAGCCCGCGUCUGAUUAGCUUGUUGGUGAGGUAAUGGCUCACCAAGGCAUCGAUCAGUAGCUGGUCUGAGAGGAUGAUCAGCCACACUGGGACUGAGACACGGCCCAGACUCCUACGGGAGGCAGCAGUGGGGAAUUUUCCGCAAUGGGCGCAAGCCUGACGGAGCAACGCCGCGUGAGGGAUGAAGGCCUCUGGGCUGUAAACCUCUUUUCUCAAGGAAGAAGAUAUGACGGUACUUGAGGAAUAAGCCACGGCUAAUUCCGUGCCAGCAGCCGCGGUAAUACGGGAGUGGCAAGCGUUAUCCGGAAUUAUUGGGCGUAAAGCGUCCGCAGGCGGCCAUUCAAGUCUGCUGUUAAAGCGUGGAGCUUAACUCCAUCAUGGCAGUGGAAACUGAUUGGCUUGAGUAUGGUAGGGGCAGAGGAAAUUCCCGGUGUAGCGGUGAAAUGCGUAGAUAUCGGGAAGAACACCAGUGGCGAAGGCGCUCUGCUGGGCCAUUACUGACGCUCAUGGACGAAAGCCAGGGGAGCGAAAGGGAUUAGAUACCCCUGUAGUCCUGGCCGUAAACGAUGAACACUAGGUGUCGGGGGAAUCGACCCCUUCGGUGUCGUAGCUAACGCGUUAAGUGUUCCGCCUGGGGAGUACGCACGCAAGUGUGAAACUCAAAGGAAUUGACGGGGGCCCGCACAAGCGGUGGAGUAUGUGGUUUAAUUCGAUGCAACGCGAAGAACCUUACCAGGGCUUGACAUCCUGCGAACCUUUAAGAAAUUAGAGGGUGCCUUCGGGAACGCAGUGACAGGUGGUGCAUGGCUGUCGUCAGCUCGUGUCGUGAGAUGUUGGGUUAAGUCCCGCAACGAGCGCAACCCACGUUUUUAGUUGCCAGCAUUUAGUUGGGCACUCUAGAAAGACCGCCGGUGAUAAACCGGAGGAAGGUGUGGGUGACGUCAAGUCAUCAUGCCCCUUACGUCCUGGGCUACACACGUACUACAAUGCUACGGACAAAGGGCAGCAAACUCGCGAGAGCUAGCAAAUCCCAUAAACCGUGGCUCAGUUCAGAUCGUAGGCUGCAACUCGCCUACGUGAAGUAGGAAUCGCUAGUAAUCGCAGGUCAGCAUACUGCGGUGAAUACGUUCCCGGGCCUUGUACACACCGCCCGUC
RNAcentral lists this ribosomal RNA (1322 nucleotides) under uncultured bacterium. RNAcentral's name for it is "bacterial SSU rRNA". It matches the Rfam family "Bacterial small subunit ribosomal RNA", at positions 28 to 1398 of the family's 1533-position model. The record is from RNAcentral.